RNAcentral lists this ribosomal RNA (550 nucleotides) under uncultured bacterium. Its description in RNAcentral is "bacterial SSU rRNA". It matches the Rfam family "Bacterial small subunit ribosomal RNA", at positions 8 to 526 of the family's 1533-position model. The record is from RNAcentral.
AGAGUUUGAUCCUGGCUCAGGACGAACGCUGGCGGCGUGCCUAAUACAUGCAAGUCGAGCGCGUGAAGCUUUUCAGAUCUCUUCGGAGUGACGAAGAGUGGAACGAGCGGCGGAUGGGUGAGUAACACGUGGGCAACCUGCCUAUAAGAUCGGGAUAACUUGCGGAAACGUGAGCUAAUACCGGAUAAAGUCUUUUACCUCCUGGUAAAAGAAUGAAAGACGGCUAUGCUGUCACUUAUAGAUGGGCCCGCGGCGCAUUAGCUAGUUGGUGGGGUAAGAGCCUACCAAGGCAACGAUGCGUAGCCGACCUGAGAGGGUGAUCGGCCACACUGGGACUGAGACACGGCCCAGACUCCUACGGGAGGCAGCAGUAGGGAAUCUUCCGCAAUGGACGAAAGUCUGACGGAGCAACGCCGCGUGAGUGAUGAAGGUUUUCGGAUCGUAAAACUCUGUUGUUGGGGAAGAACAAGUACGAGAGUAACUGCUCGUACCUUGACGGUACCUAACCAGAAAGCCACGGCUAACUACGUGCCAGCCGCCGCGGUAAUAC